Molecule: ribosomal RNA, 253 nt
Filed under: uncultured bacterium
Lineage: Bacteria
Description: partial 16S ribosomal RNA
Rfam family: Bacterial small subunit ribosomal RNA
Source: RNAcentral
GACGAACCGUGCGAACGUUGUUCGGAAUCACUGGGCUUAAAGGGCGCGUAGGCGGGUUCGCAAGUCAGGGGUGAAAUCUUUCAGCUUAACUGGAAAACAGCCCCUGAUACUGCGAGUCUCGAGGGAGGUAGGGGCAUGUGGAACUUCCGGUGGAGCGGUGAAAUGCGUAGAUAUCGGGAGGAACACCAGUGGCGAAGGCGGCGACCUGGGCAGAUACUGACACUGAGGUGCGAAAGCGUGGGGAGCAAACAGG